RNAcentral lists this long non-coding RNA (310 nucleotides) under Androctonus crassicauda. The record is from RNAcentral. Lineage: Eukaryota; Metazoa; Arthropoda; Arachnida; Scorpiones; Buthidae.
AGUAACAACGUUGUCAUUAUGUUUAAUUUUAAUAAAAAUUAAAAACAGAGAGAGAACUGUGCUGAACUUUCGCUAUUUUACAACAUGCGCAGUACUCGAACCGAGAAUUUGUCAUUGUCUGCACAUCCGCCAUAUUGCUGCAAAGUGUUGCGGAUGCUUCGGAUCACUUGCAAACUUAUCGAAAGGUUUCGUCACAGUGUCUGUGAUCACAUGAUCGAUAAAAAUUUUAUGCAUCUGAAACAACUGGUAAAUGACGUAAGUUACCAGACUUGCAACUAUACCGAGCUGGAACUGUUUUAUGCAUAUGGCC